UCAAGAUGCCAGCACCAGCCUCCAAAGAAGCUGGAGCGCCUCAGCGAGGGUGUGCUGAGUCAGCACAGAGGCAGAUGCAGUGUCCCUCAGCAGUAGGGGGGCAGGUGGGCAGGCUCAGCUACCAGCCUCCAUCCUCGGUACUGGGGCAGGCUGGGGGGCUCAGCACUGGGUCUGUCCUCAGUGUGUGGGGGCAUCCAAUCUCCAUGUUGGGGGGCGGGCAGGCCUUGUCUAGGUUUUUGAUGUGAGAUCAACAAGAGGAACAAAUCCGUUUAUGUUCUUUGUCUUGAUUGUUCCUGCUCCAGAUUUACUAAAUACUAAUAAGUAGAUGUCUACAGACAACAGAAUUAAAUAAGCAAGCAACAAUAACCAUGACCCUGUCAAACACGUGUGUCAGCCACUAGCCUCAGCCAUUUACACACAUCUCAUUUAAUCCUCACAAUUCACAGAUUAGGAAACUCAGAUUUAAGGGCUACAGACCACUUAAAUGCCAUGUACUUAACAAGUGGCAGAGCCAGAAUGGGAUUUCAUGUUAGUCUGGAAGGAAGGUCUUUGAUGUUUUUAUGAUACCGAGUUGCCUGCCAGAACAAUGACACUAAGUGCUGCCCCGCCUCCCACCCUCAUCUGCUCCUUAAUGUGGGUGGGGUGAGGGUAUGGAUUAAUCCAGAAUCAUGAGACCUUAGGGUAGUUGAAAGAUUGCAGAUAAUGAAAUAGUCCAUCUUUAAUAAACUAUCCAGGCUCCCGAAAGAGACUGAGAGCCUCUGUAAAACAUUAGUCAGUUUCUCACUUUUAUUUUUUAUCUGUGGCUGUAAAGAUGAAGGAAAGCAAUACACCUCUCAAAGUUCCUUCAAAAACCAAGACUGCAGACUACAGACCAACUCUUCUUUCUUGAAUGUAGAUAUCGCCCUCUUGUGGUAACUUGCUGCUUCUGUUAUUAUAGUCCUUUUCUAUUAUAAUUCAAUUUAUUCUGCAGAGCAGCCCGCUAAGAGUUGUAUUCCUGCUGGGUUUUGCUACUAAGGAAAGGAACAGAGUCAGAAUAUUAGCGACAAAAACCGCAUGACCCUAACCUCAUUAGCAGGGGGACAUUCAAGUCAACCUAGAGAACAUACUGACAUUCCCAACUUGUUCCCUUGUAAAUCCAUAGGGUCAGUAAGGUCCUAACUUUAGUCUUCAUGGAAUAUUAAAUUGUAUUAAAAGAUUUUGUAAUAAAAAUUUAUUUUGAAGAUUCA
Sciurus carolinensis (gray squirrel) is the source of this 1226-nucleotide long non-coding RNA. RefSeq lists it as uncharacterized. The transcript has 2 exons. The record is from RefSeq and is a predicted model, not a curated record. Lineage: Eukaryota; Metazoa; Chordata; Mammalia; Rodentia; Sciuridae.